Molecule: ribosomal RNA, 301 nt
Filed under: uncultured bacterium
Lineage: Bacteria
Description: partial 16S ribosomal RNA
Rfam family: Bacterial small subunit ribosomal RNA
Source: RNAcentral
CAGCAGCCACGGUAAUACGUAGGGUGCGAGCGUUAAUCGGAAUUACUGGGCGUAAAGCGUGCGCAGGCGGUUUUGUAAGACAGGCGUGAAAUCCCCGGGCUCAACCUGGGAAUGGCGCUUGUGACUGCAAAGCUAGAGUGCGGCAGAGGGGGAUGGAAUUCCGCGUGUAGCAGUGAAAUGCGUAGAUAUGCGGAGGAACACCGAUGGCGAAGGCAAUCCCCUGGGCCUGCACUGACGCUCAUGCACGAAAGCGUGGGGAGCAAACAGGAUUAGAUACCCGUGUAGUCCCUGUCUCUUAUAC